This 939-nucleotide ribosomal RNA is filed under the name Oceanobacillus sp. Its description in RNAcentral is "bacterial SSU rRNA". It matches the Rfam family "Bacterial small subunit ribosomal RNA", at positions 45 to 965 of the family's 1533-position model. The record is from RNAcentral. Lineage: Bacteria; Bacillati; Bacillota; Bacilli; Caryophanales; Bacillaceae.
AGUCGAGCGCAGGAAGCAAGCUGAUCCCCUUCGGGGGUGACGCUUGUGGAAUGAGCGGCGGACGGGUGAGUAACACGUGGGCAACCUGCCUGUAAGACUGGGAUAACCCCGGGAAACCGGGGCUAAUACCGGAUAAUACUUUCUUUUGCAUAAAGGAAAGUUGAAAGGCGGCUUCGGCUGUCACUUACAGAUGGGCCCGCGGCGCAUUAGCUAGUUGGUGAGGUAACGGCUCACCAAGGCGACGAUGCGUAGCCGACCUGAGAGGGUGAUCGGCCACACUGGGACUGAGACACGGCCCAGACUCCUACGGGAGGCAGCAGUAGGGAAUCUUCCGCAAUGGACGAAAGUCUGACGGAGCAACGCCGCGUGAGUGAUGAAGGUUUUCGGAUCGUAAAACUCUGUUGUUAGGGAAGAACAAGUUGGAUAGUAACUGACCCAACCUUGACGGUACCUAACCAGAAAGCCACGGCUAACUACGUGCCAGCAGCCGCGGUAAUACGUAGGUGGCAAGCGUUGUCCGGAAUUAUUGGGCGUAAAGCGCUCGCAGGCGGUCCUUUAAGUCUGAUGUGAAAUCUCGCGGCUCAACCGCGAACGGUCAUUGGAAACUGGAGGACUUGAGUACAGAAGAGGAGAGUGGAAUUCCACGUGUAGCGGUGAAAUGCGUAGAGAUGUGGAGGAACACCAGUGGCGAAGGCGACUCUCUGGUCUGUAACUGACGCUGAGGAGCGAAAGCGUGGGGAGCGAACAGGAUUAGAUACCCUGGUAGUCCACGCCGUAAACGAUGAGUGCUAGGUGUUAGGGGGUUUCCGCCCCUUAGUGCUGAAGUUAACGCAUUAAGCACUCCGCCUGGGGAGUACGGCCGCAAGGCUGAAACUCAAAAGAAUUGACGGGGGCCCGCACAAGCGGUGGAGCAUGUGGUUUAAUUCGAAGCAACGCGAA